GACGGCGUAGCUCAGCUGGAAGAGCAUUGGGCUAGUAUUCCAAAGGUCGUAGGUUCGAAUCCCACCGUGGCCG
This 73-nucleotide transfer RNA is filed under the name Paramuricea clavata. It matches the Rfam family "tRNA". From Rfam's summary of the family: Transfer RNA (tRNA) molecules are approximately 80 nucleotides in length. Their secondary structure includes four short double-helical elements and three loops (D, anti-codon, and T loops). The record is from Rfam by way of RNAcentral. Lineage: Eukaryota; Metazoa; Cnidaria; Anthozoa; Malacalcyonacea; Plexauridae.